GAGAAUAAAAUUUUAAUGGUAUCAAAAACAAAACUUUUUUUGGCCGAUUUAGUACUUGCUGGAAUAAAGUUGCAAAAUGUUACUCAGUAACUGACUUAGGUUCUAAUCAAGCCAGAAUGACACACAGUCUGUAUAUUAAGUAUAUACAAAUACAUCCAAUAUUAACAUGCACAGACAUAGAAACAAGGAUACUACAAAACCAAAAUCACCAUCUCUACUGAUGAAAUAAUGAACUGAAAACAAAACAUCCAUCCAGUAGUCCAGAACAUCUUAUUUUUGAAAAGGUUUCGAAUAUUGCUCUUUCCAAGAAUUCAAAUAAACUCCAGAUGGUUAAAUUUGACUGUUUUCUCCAUAUGAAAAAAAGAAAGCAGGCAUAUUCCCCUGGCUAUAGGAACACACCUUUUACUCAGUGAUAUCAAAUUAAAAGGUUUGACAUAAUUUCACUCUUCUCAGGUAAAAAGGGCUCUUCAUAUUCUAGUGGUUACGAAUAAAUCCCAUAAAGUUCUUAUGCAUUUGAGUGUCAUACCACCUACAGCAACAUAUGCUCAAGUACCUUUAACGAUACAGUCAUAUAGCAUGAGUUUAAUUUUCCUGAGAACUAAAUUAGAUCUACAAAAUAAACAGGCUAUGAAAAUGACCUGAGUUCAUAGGAAUCUCUAAGUUAGAGAUUACUUUAGCUUUGCUAAGAUUUCAUCAAAAGCCUUUUAUAGCAAGGGUUUCUUAGUGAGUCACAUACUUGGUCAUGGAGCCUUGGAAUUUUUUUUAAACAUUAAAAACAAGUGCUUUAUGUUGUUGUGCAAAUUCAACAAAAGGCCAAAGCAGCCAACAGUACUGAAGUGCUAAGUAAAACCUACAAGUAAGUCACAGAUUCUACUAUGUUAUGAAGAAAGGAGGAGGUGAGAGAUACAGCUGACCAACUUUGCUCCCAGUUUGACAAUGAUUAUUGAGAAGCUAAGCAAUUCCUUGCAAGAUAAGAAAAGACAGCACCUUAAGUGGAACCUAGUGGAAACCACUCAGAAGUGAGGGUUGUGUGCAACAGGGAUGGCUACUGAUCCCCUCUAGGUAACUCCUCUUUUGUGUGAGAAUCCAAGAACCUAGAAAUCAAGCAGGGAAACACUGGGUUCAUGGUCAUUUAUCCUAAUUAUGAAUUGCAACUUCUGUUAUUAUUGUUUGCAAACUACUAAAGAUCACAUGUGAAUUAAGUCAUUGAACAGCAUAUAAAAGAGUAUGGUCUGGCUUCAACCCAAGCUUUUCUUUUUUAGAGACAGGGUCUGGCUCUGUCACCCAGGCUGGAGUGCACUGGUGCGAUCAGAGCUCAUUGCAGCUUCGAACUUUUGGGCUCGGGUGAUCCUCCCGCCUCAGCAUCUCGAGUAGCUGGGACUACAGGUGUACACCACUACAAGUGGCUAAUUUUUGUCAUUUUUUGCAGAGAAGGGGGUCUCACUAUGUUGCCCAAGCUGGUCUUGAAAUCCUGGGCUCAAGUGAUCCUCCCACCUUGGCCUCCCAAAGUGUUAGGAUUACAGGCGUGAGCCACGGUGACCAGCCCAAUCCAAGCUUUUCUGAUUUGUGAUGUAAUCUAAUUCAAGGCACUUUAAAUGUUUUGGUGCCUUGGUGUAUUAACAUGUAACAUGAGAACAAGAUUUAUUUACUUACCUCAAGGAGCUAGUACAUGGGUUAUUGAAUGUACUCCUCUUAAACUUUGAGCCCCUCAGAUGAAAAGCACUGUGGAAACAAUUACAGCUGAAGAAAACCCUUCCAAUGCCUCAGAAUCCUGACUUACUGUGCCUUGUGUCUCAAUGGCACAUUUAGAAACAAUGUGCACU
RNAcentral lists this long non-coding RNA (1823 nucleotides) under Macaca fascicularis (crab-eating macaque). Its description in RNAcentral is "lncRNA (ENSMFAG00000058291.1)". Lineage: Eukaryota; Metazoa; Chordata; Mammalia; Primates; Cercopithecidae. The record is from RNAcentral.